CGUAGGGGGCUAGCGUUGUCCGGAUUUGUUGGGCGUAAAGAGCGCGUAGGCGGCUAGGUAAGUCCGACGUGAAAUCUGGAGGCUCAACCUCCAGCGGUCGUUGGAAACUACUUGGCUAGAGUCCGGAAGAGGAGAGUGGAAUUCCUGGUGUAGCGGUGAAAUGCGCAGAUAUCAGGAAGAACACCGAUGGCGAAAGCAGCUCUCUGGGACGGUACUGACGCUGAGGCGCGAAAGCGUGGGGAGCGAACAGGAUUAGAUACCCUGGUAGUCCACGCCGUAAACGAUGGGUGCUAGGUGUGAGCGGUGUCGACUCCGCUCGUGCCGAAGCUAACGCAUUAAGCACCCCGCCUGGGGAGUACGGCCGCAAGGCUA
RNAcentral lists this ribosomal RNA (372 nucleotides) under uncultured organism. RNAcentral's name for it is "bacterial SSU rRNA". It matches the Rfam family "Bacterial small subunit ribosomal RNA", at positions 526 to 896 of the family's 1533-position model. The record is from RNAcentral.